CCGGGAAGCGCUUUCCCAGACCCUUCUGGCUGAAGUGCCCAAGCAGCUGGUGUCCUGUUAUAAAUGGCAGGGAUGGCCACCUCUGAAACCACCAGAGAUAAAGAAGGUGUAGACUGCAGCCUGGUGCUGGCAACCUGGAUCCCUGGGGUGAAGAGAGCUGUCAGCACCCAGGCCCUGCCGUGCAGCUAUGGGUGCUCAGUGCCUUGAGAUUGUGCCAUUCACACCAAUUCUCCUCCCUGCCCCUGCUUUGUAUCUUUGAUCUUUUCUGUUCCUGAAUGGAAGAAAUGUAAAUACAUGUUCUGGUUUAGCAAGGAGCAGCUUUUGGCUUAGUAACAGGGGGAGGGGGUUGCAGUGAAGACCCGGUAAAGAGUUUGUGGACAGAAGCUAUCGGGAACAGACUAACUGAAACCCCCACUGCAGAGAGGGGAGCUCUUUGGCUGGCCUCACUACGGGAAGCUGGCCGUGGGAGAAACGCUGUCCAUUAAGGUUUACAACUGCAGCAAGGUCUUCAGUAACAGAGCUGUCUCAGCCAGAGCAGAGCCGUGCCGGUCCUUACAGCUCGUGCAGACCUGGGAUUCCUCAGCUUGAAGCUGAUGCUGGCCAUCCCCUGUGUGCCAUCACUAACCAGGAGACCGCUCUGUUGUCCUAUUGCCAUGGCAACAAGAGGCGCCAACCGCUGUCCC
Colius striatus (speckled mousebird) is the source of this 683-nucleotide long non-coding RNA. RefSeq lists it as uncharacterized. NCBI's taxonomy places the organism in Eukaryota, Metazoa, Chordata, Aves, Coliiformes, Coliidae. The record is from RefSeq and is a predicted model, not a curated record. The transcript has 3 exons.